CUGAAUGCUGGGAGGAAGAAAGGCAGAGUUAGAGAGACACCAUGGAUCUACGGCUGGAGAUGGACGUCCUGGAACUUUGCUGGUCCUAGAUCCCACAGCUGUGAGAUCGUUGAUGGGGAAGGAUGGCAGUCGGAGUCUGAAUCGGAUGGAAGCUCUCCUGAAACAGAAAUUUUCUAGAACAUUCUCAGAGGAACAGGACUAGAUCAGAAGAAGAUGGUGGCAACCACACAGUCAUGGUCUGCACGUGUUGAAAAGGGGGAAGAUACCUGGUGAUGUCCUGUAGAUCCUGUGACAUACAGCACAGACCUGGUGAUGUCCUGUAGAUCCUGUGACAUACAACACAGACCCGGUGAUGUCCUGUAGAUCCCGUGCCAAUACAGAAGGGAAGUAGGCCAGAGCUGUGUUUAAAACUGUAUUUAGAUCAUGAUGAAAGCACAAAUAUCAGUGUGAGAGGGGGCAGGGAGAGUGACAUCCUUGGGUAGAGACAAUAAGAACAAAAUCUGGGAGCUGGAAACGCAGAGAAAUGCUUGCCACAGCAUGAGGGUCUGAGCUCUGAGCCCCAAGGAAAAAGCUAGAUAAGGUGGCAAGGAGGUGCCAGAAAUUUGAGUUAGGGAGAAAGAGCCAAGAGACUCCCUGGGACUCACCAGUCAGCUCAGCUAGCCUUGUGAACUGGUUAGCUCCCUGUUCAGAGAGAGACCUUCACACACACACACACACACACACACACACACACACACACACA
Myodes glareolus (Bank vole) is the source of this 742-nucleotide non-coding RNA. NCBI's taxonomy places the organism in Eukaryota, Metazoa, Chordata, Mammalia, Rodentia, Cricetidae. The record is from RefSeq and is a predicted model, not a curated record.